GCGAACGCUGGCGGCAGGCUUAACACAUGCAAGUCGAACGGGCACUUCGGUGCUAGUGGCAGACGGGUGAGUAACGCGUGGGAACGUACCUUUCGGUUCGGAAUAAUUCAGGGAAACUUGGACUAAUACCGGAUACGCCCUUCGGGGGAAAGAUUUAUCGCCGAUAGAUCGGCCCGCGUCUGAUUAGCUAGUUGGUGAGGUAAUGGCUCACCAAGGCGACGAUCAGUAGCUGGUCUGAGAGGAUGAUCAGCCACAUUGGGACUGAGACACGGCCCAAACUCCUACGGGAGGCAGCAGUGGGGAAUAUUGGACAAUGGGCGCAAGCCUGAUCCAGCCAUGCCGCGUGAGUGAUGAAGGCCUUAGGGUUGUAAAGCUCUUUUGUCCGGGAAGAUAAUGACUGUACCGGAAGAAUAAGCCCCGGCUAACUUCGU
Molecule: ribosomal RNA, 431 nt
Filed under: uncultured bacterium
Lineage: Bacteria
Description: bacterial SSU rRNA
Rfam family: Bacterial small subunit ribosomal RNA
Source: RNAcentral